GCAAGCCAGGAAGGAGGAGGCAGCCAGAGUGUUCUCUCCAGCAGAAGACCCCUUGCUGCCCUGCUUAACCCAGACCAGCAUUUGCCAGGCACCUGAAAACAGAGAAAAGCAGGAGAGAGAGAAAGCAGAGAGCAACAGGGGGAGAGCAACUGGUCCUAUCUAUCCAUCUUGAGCACAACAUCCCUCCAGUACCUGAUGCUAGUGUCUAAUUUGUGUCUCUUUUUUAGAUUGUGAGCCCUUUGGGGACAGGCAGCCAUUUUAUUUAUUUAUUUAUAUUUAUGUAAACCUCUUUGGGAACUUUUGUUGAAAAGCAGUAUAUAAAUAUUUGUUGUAUAUAAAUAUUGGUCAUAAAUAUCA
Hemicordylus capensis (graceful crag lizard) is the source of this 357-nucleotide long non-coding RNA. RefSeq lists it as uncharacterized. NCBI's taxonomy places the organism in Eukaryota, Metazoa, Chordata, Lepidosauria, Squamata, Cordylidae. The record is from RefSeq and is a predicted model, not a curated record. The transcript is spliced from 3 exons.